Patiria miniata (bat star) is the source of this 1797-nucleotide long non-coding RNA. RefSeq lists it as uncharacterized. NCBI's taxonomy places the organism in Eukaryota, Metazoa, Echinodermata, Asteroidea, Valvatida, Asterinidae. The transcript is spliced from 4 exons. The record is from RefSeq and is a predicted model, not a curated record.
CGAGGAGGCUGCUUAUUUCCCAGCUUCGACACUGUGCAAAAUUUGGCCAUGCCACAGAAAAAACUGACGGAAAUUAUGAUAAAAUCUUAUCGGCAGCGGAUCGGUAGCAACUGCAACACCGCCAGCCUCAAAGAAAGUCGGAAAACUAAUUUUGGGAAAACGGUGGGGAAAAUGACAACAGCAAAACAAAUAAAACAGCGGAAAUAACGGCAAAAUUUACAGCAGUGCUAAAAAAGAAAUUAAUAAUCGGCAUGUCGAAAAACAAAUAUUUGACGAAAAUUGAAAAAAAAAAUCAAGUCGGUCUAAAAUCACAUCUUACGUGGAUAAAUUCUUUCGUAGAAAUACUACUCCGCCUCCAACAGAUGGCUAUGAAAAUGACGAAAAUCGAAGCGGCAAAAACCGUUCAGUCACAAAUAUAGGCGAGGAGGCUGCUCAUUUCCCAACUUCGACACUAUGCAAAAUGUGGCCACUGAGCUACAGAAAAACUGACGGAAAUUGUGAUAAAAUCUUAUAAGCAGCGGAUCGGUAGCAACUGCAACACCGCUAGCUUCAAAAAAAAGUCGGAAAAUUAAAUUUUGGAAAACGGUGGGGAAAACGAAAACAGUAAAACAAAUAAAACAGCGGAAAAUACGGCCAAAUUACCGCCAAAUUACGGUAAAAUUUACAGCGGUAUUAAAAAAAUUAAUAAAUAAAUAAUCGCCAUGUCGAACAAAAAAGUCGGUGAACAAAAUGACUGGAUUUACGGUAACUAUACAUCGUCAUUUUUAAGACGGUAAUUCUUUUUCCGCAGAACUAUUUACGUGUGCAGGAUGCAUUAGGAAAGAAUACUGCAUUUAGUGUCGACACAUUUUUGUACAUUAUGGGCGGCACGUUGUGUGUGCAUUACAACAAAAUAAUCGUCUGUUUUUAAAAGAAAAUCAUGGAAAACAUUGAAAUAAACAUGCAUGGUAAACACGGGUAAAAUCAUUAAUUUCAAAGGUUUCAGGUAAGCUUAUAUAUUAAACAUAGUUAUUGGCUGCAUUGGAAUGUUUCUCUUCAGUAACAAACGGGCUAGGCCCAGUGUUUUCGUACCCCAGUUCACUUAGGAAAGAGUUGCAGCUUUCAUCGGAGAAAUAUGAGGAUCUAAAAGUGGAGACAGACUGAAUGAGCUAGGCUGCUUUGUCUGGACGAAUAGGACCCUCCAAGGCUCCAACAGCCUCAUCACACAGAAACUCCAGGAACCGGAAGCAGGGAGGAGGACCCACAGAUGAACGGAUGACCUGCUUGCUGGGCUUCCCAUUACUGAUUCUUGAGAAGAGUACCGACAGACAUGCAUAUAGAACUGGCUGGAUGACGAGGUUGCUUCAGUCGGUGAGGAUGAGAUCAUCCAUGCAGACAAAACCUAGGAACCGGAAGCAGGGAGGAGGACCGACAGAUGAACAGAUGACCUGCUUGCUGGGCUUCACAUUACUGAUUCUUGAGAAAAGGAGUACCGACAUACAUGCAUAGAACUGGCUGGAUGACGAAGCUGCUUCAGUCCGUGAGGAUGAGAUCAUCCAUGCAGACAAAACCUAGGAACCGGAAGCAGGGAGGAGGACCGACAGAUGAACGGAUGACCUGCUUGCUGGGCUUUCCAUUACUGAUUCUUGAGAAAGGGAGCAUGGAUGACGAGUCUGCUUCAGUCGGUGUGGAUGAGAGGAUAAGACCCCAAUUUCAAAAACAUCAUCCAUGCAGACAAAACCUAGGAACCAGAAGCAGGGAGGAGGACCGACAGAUGAACUGAUGCCCUGCUUGCUGGGCUUCCCAUUACUGAUUCUU